RNAcentral lists this ribosomal RNA (332 nucleotides) under Brachycephalus ephippium (pumpkin toadlet). Its description in RNAcentral is "partial 16S ribosomal RNA". It matches the Rfam family "Bacterial large subunit ribosomal RNA", at positions 1994 to 2515 of the family's 2925-position model. The record is from RNAcentral. Lineage: Eukaryota; Metazoa; Chordata; Amphibia; Anura; Brachycephalidae.
GAAUGGCACCACGAGGAUAAAACUGUCUCCUUUCCACAAUCAGUGAAACUAAUCUCCUAGUGAAGAAGCAAGGAUAUUACUGUAAGACGAAAAGACCCUAUGGAGCUUAAAACAAAUAACUAAUGCUUCAACCCCCACCCCAGCACUAUAGUUACUAAUUUUUGGUUGGGGUGACCACGGAGAAAAAUUCAUCCUCCACGACGAAUUCUUUAAACAAGCCACAGCUUUAUCUAGCAAUAAAUUGGCGCACUGACCCAAUAACUUGAUCAGCGAACUAAGUUACCCUAGGGAUAACAGCGCAAUCCGCCUCGAGAGCUCUUAUUAACAGGCGG